CCCGUCACAUCACGAAAGUGAGCUGUACUAGAAGUCGUCACGCUAACCGCAAGGAGGCAGACGCCCAAGGUAUGACUCAUGAUUGGGGUG
Molecule: ribosomal RNA, 90 nt
Filed under: uncultured bacterium
Lineage: Bacteria
Description: partial 16S ribosomal RNA
Rfam family: Bacterial small subunit ribosomal RNA
Source: RNAcentral